GCCCGGUUAGCUCAAUCGGUAGAGCGUGAGACUCUUAUGAGUACACACAUCUCAAGGUUGCGGGUUCGACCCCCGCAUCGGGCU
Molecule: transfer RNA, 84 nt
Rfam family: tRNA
About the family: Transfer RNA (tRNA) molecules are approximately 80 nucleotides in length. Their secondary structure includes four short double-helical elements and three loops (D, anti-codon, and T loops).
Source: Rfam